GCGUAUGUCAGAAUUUCCUUCCUUUUAAAGGUUGAAUAGUAUUAAUAUUCCAUUGUAUGUAUAUAACAUAUUUUGUUUAUCUAUUGAUCUGUUGGAUCACCUGGUUGCAGUGCAGUACGGUACAAGCAGCUGAUUGAAUGAACGAAUACUACUGGUCAGUGCUUUCGGAGUGUUCCUGUGCUUGGUUUCAAGUUUCUAAGAGUACUCUUGUGUAAUCACAGCUAGAGCAAGAGAGAAGAGAGGCAGAAAUGAGGGCAAAACGGGAAGAGGAAGAGCGAAAGAGGCAGGAAGAACUCCGAAGACAACAGGAGGAAAUUCUUCGGCGACAGCAGGAAGAAGAAAGGAAAAGGCGAGAGGAAGAAGAACUUGCCCGAAGGAAACAGGAAGAGGCUCUGCGUCGCCAGCGGGAGCAAGAAAUUGCAUUAAGGCGACAGCGAGAAGAGGAAGAAAGACAGCAGCAAGAAGAAGCUCUUAGAAGACUGGAAGAGAGGAGAAGAGAAGAGGAAGAAAGGCGGAAGCAGGAAGAAUUGUUACGCAAACAGGAAGAGGAGGCUGCAAAAUGGGCCCGGGAAGAAGAAGAAGCCCAGCGUCGAUUAGAGGAGAACCGGCUGCGGAUGGAAGAGGAGGCAGCCAGACUCCGGCAUGAGGAAGAAGAACGGAAGAGAAAGGAGCUGGAGGUCCAGCGGCAGAAGGAGUUAAUGCGCCAGAGGCAGCAGCAGCAAGAGGCUCUCCGGAGGUUGCAGCAGCAGCAGCAGCAACAACAGCUGGCGCAGAUGAAGCUUCCUUCUUCUUCAACGUGGGGCCAGCAGUCCAAUACAACAGCAUGUCAGUCCCAGGCCACGCUGUCGUUGGCUGAAAUCCAAAAACUAGAGGAAGAACGAGAACGGCAGCUUCGAGAAGAGCAAAGGCGCCAGCAGAGGGAGUUGAUGAAAGCUCUUCAGCAGCAGCAGCAACAGCAACAGCAGAAACUCUCAGGUUGGGGGAAUGUCAGCAAACCUUCAGGUACCACGAAAUCUCUUCUGGAGAUCCAGCAGGAAGAGGCCAGGCAAAUGCAAAAGCAGCAGCAGCAGCAGCAGCAACACCAGCAACCAAACAGAGCUCGUAACAAUACGCAUUCCAACCUGCACACCAGCAUUGGGAAUUCUGUUUGGGGCUCUAUAAAUACUGGUCCUCCUAACCAGUGGGCAUCUGACCUAGUCAGUAGUAUUUGGAGUAAUGCUGACACUAAAAACUCCAACAUGGGAUUCUGGGAUGAUGCAGUGAAAGAGGUGGGACCUAGGAAUUCAAC
RNAcentral lists this long non-coding RNA (1288 nucleotides) under Homo sapiens (human). Its description in RNAcentral is "long non-coding RNA NONHSAT183756.1". Lineage: Eukaryota; Metazoa; Chordata; Mammalia; Primates; Hominidae. The record is from RNAcentral.